Non-coding RNA from Anas platyrhynchos (mallard), 8264 nucleotides. NCBI's taxonomy places the organism in Eukaryota, Metazoa, Chordata, Aves, Anseriformes, Anatidae. The record is from RefSeq and is a predicted model, not a curated record.
UUAGUGGGGACUGUUAGCGUUAGGUCAGAGGUUGGACUCGGUGAUCUUGAGGUCUCUUUCAACCUAGAUGAUUCUGUGAACGUGGUUAGGUUGGGCCUCAAAGGGAGAUGGAGGUUUGGACGUGCUGGAAGAGCAGCAAAGAAGAAAUGGAGGGCUGCUACUGAGCAGGCGGUGUGGGCGGGUUGGUGAGGGGAGGCAUGUGGCUCAGGCUGCCAAGGAGCAUUGCAUGUGUUUGGGAUGUGGAGAAGAAAACAUUGCAGUGGUUGCAGCAGGAGGUAGCAAAGAGGCUUACAGGCCAGGUUUGCCAGUAAGAAUGGUAACAGAUUGGUCGUGAGCCUGGUGGGUAGAAGGAAGGGCUAGGAGCUGGGUGCUGCGUGACGUGUGGGACGGAGGAUGACGAGGCAAUAGGGAGCGCGUUACUGGUAUUGGCAGUGAAACUGAAAAGGGAAAGUGAGGCUAAGCCAAGGCAACGCUAUACUUAAUUACCUUAAGACAGUGAUAAGAGAGUUACCGAGGUUAACCCAGGAGGGAGGAUCUGUGCAUCCCAGGCCAGCGGCACAUCCACAGCUGUAGAGGCUCUUUUCCAGCUCAUUAGCUCUUGCCUUCCAGGCUACCUUAUCCCCCAUCAGUGAUUCCUCUUUAGGAAUUUCAGUAUGGGGAUCUCAGGCAACUGUGGGGAUGAAAGGGAUUUCUUGCAAGCUUCUGUCACUUCGCUUUCCCUUCUAGCCCGGGUCUCUGUUGGAGGCUGGUCCAGGCCCUUAGAAGUGACCUGAAGGUACGUGUUAAAACAUGGAAGGUUCGCUUAAAGACAGUUGUCGUGGGCUCAGGUGGAGAGGCCACGCUAAAGCGACCUGUGAGGUUUCUUUGAAGAUACAAAGGCUGUAAUUGGGAAAGGAGAGCUGGCAGCCACCAAGAGCUGCCUACUGCAAAAGAUCUGUGAGCAAUAUAGCCACCAAAAUGAGAAGCUGUCUUAGAAAUAUAAAUUGGAAAAAUAAACGUAUACGUUAUUUUGAUGUGGAAAAGGAAAAAGAGAGCAUAAUUUUCCAAGUUUUUUUGAAGUUCAAGAGGGAAGCUAUUAGAAAAUAAGAUCUUUGUUAAAUAAGGUACGUAGCAGAAAGUAUCUACCUACUAAAACGCAAAGAAUGCUUUGCACUGAAGAUUACAGCAUGAUUUUAACUUAAUGAGUGGCAGUUGAUAUUAUCAACUAGGCAGUAGUCAAUUUAUAUAAAACACAUGUUUUAAUUCAGUCCAGUAGGUGCUGUGUAUUAUCAAAAUUUUGAUUUAAGCCUGCCCUGUAGUGAUAUCAAAUCCUGGUUUUGUGUAAAAAAAAUAAAUGAAUAAAUAAAAAUCCUUUUCAAAUGGCAAUAUGUGAACUACAGUAGAUAAAGCAAACCUAAUUAGUUUCAAAGAUACUCCAAUUUAGGGGCAAAAUUUUUCUACAGAGGUUCAUUUAAUCCCAAACUGCAGCACUUCUGCCCCUCUAGUCCCCCUGAAAAAUAUCUAUGUUAUAACCAGUUCUUACUUUGGCUCAAACCACAAGUCUCCGUCUUCAGCUGCUGGGAUGCUGAAGGGUCUCCCCUUACCCUGCAGUGAUUUUUAAGGCCUUAAUGAGAUUCUGUAAUCCACUGUGUACGUGGGAUGAGCAUCGGUAUGAUUUUGUCACAGUCAGGCGUGUACAUGUUCGGGCUUUUCAGUUUCAAAAUAGCUGUCUGUCUCCUCUGUGCCUUCAGCCCUGCGUUAUAGACAAUACAGUAACUUGUAGAAGCAGGAGCAUGCGUUUGAUCACCUAUACAGCUCCACUGAUGGCAGUGAAGUUAGUGAAUGAAUGAAAUGAACGAAAGAGUAGAAGCUUAGAUCCCUUGUCAAUGACCUGAGAGCAGCCCCCUUGAUACCUCCCUGAUGGGUAUCUUCUCCACCCAGGAAGGAAAAGUUAAACAGGGAUGUCUUCAUAUGAAGCUGGAUGUGUGUGUCCAGGAAUUACCUAUUUUUUCCCUGAUAACUUUUGUCAUUUUGAGUUAAAUUAAUAGUUACAUUACUAAGUUUUACUUGCCAAAAAGAACUGACAAAGCUUUAAGAGAGCUGGGAGACCUUAGUGGGAGGCACAGAUUUGGUAGGUUGCUCAAGUAUUUCACAGUCCAGGAAAGGAUUCUGGUAAAGCAGCAGCAGGUCAUAGCAAGGUUUUUCAGUGUGGGAGCCUUCUGAGAGGCCAGAGUUGCACAGCUGCUACCCCAGAGAGUAUAGAUGCAGUUCGAGCAGUCCUAUUAAAGUCAUUUGGAGUGCCUGCAACCUUUGCUGUUCUUCCAAAUCAACACUUCCAGUGGUGACAGUGGAAAUACAGCUUUGAGACAUCAGUCUGGUUUAUUUUUUUAAAACUCCUACGUAACAGAAAAAAAGAGUCAGUCCCCUUGCUAAUUUUAUCCUUCGUGUUAGGUCACCCCACUGCCUCCCGUGUUCUGAUGACACAGGAAGAGUAAGUCCUUCUUUCGCCUCUCUGGCUGGUGUCCUGGCAUCACCUUUGCUGCCCUUUGCUUCAGCAUCUGCAGGGUAACGGGAUACAAUGAAAGGUUUUGCUUGGACUUCAUAUUCAUCCAUGUUCUUCAGCCACUGCAUGGCUUUGCUGUGAGAUGAGAAGUGUUUGCUGCACUCGGCCUGCUGGAUUGCAUUUUGUUCUCCAUCCAGUCGUCCUGGGCUGAGUUUGAUUGCGAGUGAAGGUUGGCUUUGUUUUGCAGACCCAUUUAGGAUCCUUCAGAAAGAGUGCCAGUGUAGAAACGUCAGCAUUGCAUAGACAGAUAUCAAACUAUCAGAUAAAUGGAAAUUGCUCUGGGGGAAAAAAAAAAAAAAAAAAGUAAGUAAUAUUGUCUUAUGUUAGAGAUCGUCAUUGGUCUUUCUUCGUAUCAUUAACUCAGAGAAACUCCCACCUGAAUCCAUUUGGAUAUGGGAGGUGAAACUGAGUAAAUACUAUCAGGUUUGUGCACACAAACGAGGAGCAUUCUGGUGCUUGCAAAAGGGCUCAGAUGGUUUCCAGCCCCUGUUUCUCACAGGGAAAGAGAAGACUGCUCCUUCCUUCCUGGCAAGAAGGGCAGCAAGUGCUGCAGAUGGCAGUCUUACACCCAGCACCUGCUUGAAUCCAGCAUGUAGCUGGACUGGGCCAGGCCCUGUGCUUCUCUUGAAGCAUACAGGUUGGUCAGAAAUGGUAUCCUUUUCUAGAUGUGCUUUAGUCAAGGCUGUGGUAAAAGUGUCAGGAUUUAUCUUUGAUGAGCAUUCCCCAAAACAGAAAUGAUUGUUCCUCAAGAAAUCAACAGAAAAUCUCCUUUAAGUAACUGAAAUAAAGCAUACAGCUUUGCUGAUGUGUCGCUUUGUUACAAAGUGUAUUUCUGUGAAGGGUAGAGAUUUGUCUUUGUCUUUGUCUUGCUGAUCUAGGCGAGAUCCAGCAAAACAAGCUGCUGGUGACAAGGGAAAUUCAAGUUACAGUAUUGGAAGAUUCAUGUCAGCGCAUAACGAAAACAUGCUUAUGGAAGCUGCUAAAUACGUGUUACUAGGAGCUGAGUGAAGUAAUCCUGAAGGCUCUAAAUUUACAUGUUUAAAAAAAAAGAGUAAACGUGUGCACACAGAGCUGAUGGAUGUAGCUCCUGCCAUGUACUACAGCUAGAGUUUCAAAAGUGGCUAGUGAUUUGGCUUUAUUUUAUUUAUAGGUGGUCUGUUCUGGAAGAGUCAUCAAAGGUCCUUGCCUUUCUGAGAUUGGCCUAGUCAGCUUUUUCUGAAAAUGAAACUCUACUAGCGCUGUAGUGACGUUUUUAAAAUCUCAGCUAAUUUGCAGGUGCAUGAACACACAGCAACAGACACGAUCCCAUAGAUACAGACGUACAUAUUUCACAUAUAGAAUUUACAGAAUACAGAACAGGAGGCACCAGUCUUUUCUUGAGCAAGGGGUGCAGUUCUCAGUGCCUCGAGUAUAUAUUUUUCAUUUAACCAACAAAAAAAUAAAUAAAUUAGGGUCUCUUUGUGACUGAAGAGGAGAGAACAUGCUGCAUUUUACACAAAACAUAUGCUUGCCUGUCAGCUGACUAUUUCUCUAAUACAUCAAAAUGAUUAGAUCAUUUCUUUUUUUUUUUUUAAUUGAAAUGAGAGCUUUACUUUUGUUGAAUUAUUCACUUCCCACAACUGUUGUUAUUUCUCCAGCCUACCCUGAGUUUACAGCACUGGCUGAAGUGUUCUCAGAUGAGCAGGUGGGAGAACGGCCUGUAAGUCGUCAUCUUUAUAAACGGUUCGUAAAACUUUUGGUGUUGAAAGGUAAGAAUAGUUGAAGUAAAUCUCAACAAUGCUGACUCAAAUGUUUAAAGCAUUGCUUAAAUCCCUUGAUUAACCCAGCUUCUCAAUAUUUGACAUGAAUCAAUAGCUCUGAGAUGUCUUUGCUGUUCUCUAGCUUUGUAAAUAUUUAUGUGGCCAGUCCCAUGAAAUAUGAUGCUUAAUCCUGUUAAAGUAAUUCUUUGUGUGCUGCACAUGAAGACAUAUAAAGUAUAAUAGUUCCAGUCAUGCUAGUUAAAUAAUUGGCACUAAGGAUGAAAUCUGCUGCAUUUCUUUAGUAAAUAACCAGGAUUUAUACAAUUCAACUGUGAGUGAAUGGAAAGCAAAAUCCACCUUCUGUCACAAAUCUCUGGCCAGCUGCUGGGGAUGCAGAUUGCCUGAUUUUGGCUUGUUCCUGAGCCAAAUAGUAGGCUUUUGUUCCAGAUAAGAGGUGCUGAGAGCUAGAUCAGUGCUAAUAGUGAACGGAUGGCACCUCUAUUAGCUUGUCCUCAGCCUUCCCUUGUUGGGAUGUGCUGUAAUUGUGCACUCCAGGGAGCAGGAGGAUGCUCUGUCCAUAGUUUCCAGGACCUGGGAAAGCCUUCUCUGGGAACAAUGGUGCAAAAGGGUUGCACCAGCCCUACAGAUUGUGGCUGAGAUAUUCCUGCUAAUACACAAGAUCUGCAGGAGGCCUGUAUUUAAAUGGUUUGGCUUAUGAAGCACAGUGGCAUGCUUGUUCCUAAGACACUGUGCAUUUAGUCAUUGUUUACUGAUGCAGUCUGAUUCAUCUGUGGAUUCUGCCAGGCUUUGCGGUUGUACUCCUUGCCUCGAGGUAUUCCAGAAAUAAAAGGGGCUGGGGAAUAACAAGGAAGCUGGGAAAGAUCACGGUGGCAUAAGAUGCGCAGAGUUGGCCACCAAGAAUUCAGAAGUGGAUCUUCCUUAGAUGGGCUCUGUUCUCGUGCCAAAGUGGAUCUUUCUGUGCUUCUAGGAUGGAUGCCUAUCAUACAAGAGCUCCUACUGGAGCAUAGUUACAGGCUUUCCUGUAAAAGGAUGGGAGAAAAGGGGUACCCAGUAUGCAAAUCCAUAAGGGCCUGCCUUCUGUGGAAUUUUUCAGAUUAAUUACAGAUAAAAUAUAUUCCUAUGGGUUCUUUUAGGACUGUUCUCUAGCUUACAGGCAUCCUGCCUAAUAAAACGUGGAGAAAAAAGCGGUGUUUUAUGUAUUUAGAAGUAGUUUAGCUUUUUAUUUGCUUUCUCGCUGCAAUUCCCUUAAGAGCCCUUCAGCAGAUGAAGAGAUCUCCAUGCAGAAGUGCUACGGUGGUGCUGCACUUCUGUAGCCCAGUUUGACCACCACGUAAGCCAAGCAAAUAAACGUAUGCUUACAAGAACAGCACAUCCCAGAAAAGGUGAUGUGGGAAUUCAAUGAAAUUACUUCCAGUUUUCCUGACCGUAUGUUUAUAUGGUCACCUGGGGGGGUGUGUUUGCCUAUAUAUAACUACACACAAUAAAGGUUGGGCCAAAACCCAGAUGAUUGCAUUUGGAUUGCUAACAGAUUCUUCUUCAGCUUCCUUUCCAUGUUCUGUUACGUUGCUUGUCCUUUCAGCUAUUUCCCCCCCAUCCCAACCAAAGACCGAGUAGGAGCUGCAGAAUGUGUCUUGUGUUUAGGGAGGUAUUUAGAGGUACUUUGGAAGAAAAAAUGAUGUUUAUGCACGAAGGCUUGCAUUUUCAGCCAUGCACGUCAAAGGUCCAGGAGGUCUGAAGUCAAAUUGGAAAUCGGGCUAGACGUGGUCUAUCAAAACAUCAAGUAAAAUUUGUAGCACUGAAAAUAUAAAACUAAUUAACUUGGUUAAAAAAAAAAAAGUCUUUUAAUUCACUACGACCAAUAAAUGUUAGUCUGUAGAGAGCAAGUUAACAGGGACACAAAUAGUGAUGGGGAAAAAUUAAUAAAUGAGUCUUAUGUACCUAGACAUCUGCUCAGCCAACCAAGAUUUCUAAAGGGUCAGUUGCAUGUCUGGAAAUGUAGCCACUGGUGUCUUAAAUAGAAGACAUGGAAGUAGACAUGGGUUUUGAUUAUUUUUUUUAAACUUCUAUAUUACAUGAUGUGCCAAAAAAUAAUAAAUAAACAAACAAACAAAAACACCAAAAGACAAGAAAGCAAACAAAAAUCCUACCACAUGAAAGCCACAGGUAAUGUUGAUGGAAGUGAAAUGCUUGAAGGUCACAUGCCUUCAGUCACCACAAAGCAAAAAUGUGUCAAAAGUAUGUUGCUUCAUCUGCAAAACAAAUGUGCAGGAAUCACUACAUGCCUAGCAGGUAUGAGGAUUAAAUGUAUUGAUCAGCCUUUUAUGUCUUUUUAAUAAUAAUCACUUGUAUUUAAAAGAGGAAAUAAUGUUUUGUCAUCCACAUCUAAGGGACAGCUUUUUUUGUCGUUCAUGAGGAGCAGAACUCAGAAUUCUUAUUGCAAAAAGAAGCCAGACAGCAGAUGAGGCAAAAUGACAUAUUCAGGUAAAACAUGAGCCACCAGCUCACUACAAGCAAGUUCAGUGCAAUGACAGUCCUGCUGCCCUUCCCUAGGGAUUGGGCAGAACUGCUCAAGAAGGAACAGAUGGAAACAGCUGCCAAUAGAUGAGUUCUGGAAAGGAUUCAAGCCACAGUACUUGCUGUGGCUUGGGAGCUUGUGAUGGGCAGAGCUCACUGAAUGACUGGUAUCUAUGAUUUUGGACUGGACAGCUAUCAGUCAGUUCUUAGAUACGGGACCCAGAUAAAAAUAUUUUGGAACAAAGCUGUGUCUAGGGCAUUCUCUGCUAUCUUUGUAAUUCCCAAGUGAGAAAGGAAAGUACAUCUCUAACCACAGAGCUCUAGAACAACAGAUUUAUCUAACUUCAAGUGGAAAAUCAUGAUCCUUCCUGCUCAUAGACAGAAGAGACCUGAGGUCCGUAGAAUCUUGGUUCUACUUAUACAUGGACAAUUCACUAGGUUGCAUUUUAGCUAGCAGGAGCUUGCAUUUUAUUUAUUUUUUAACCUAAAUAUCUUUCUCAUGACAGAAGACAGCAAGAGAGAUGUUGAAGACCUGAGCCUUGAUGUCAUUUCCUUAGAAUUUGUACCAGGCAGAGCUGGCAGCAGAACAGCGCCUUCCUCUUCCACACCUAGGCUGAAGUCAAAGGCCCAUAAUGCUUAUACAUCAGCCGAUUGCAUUCGUUUGAGGAUUCAGAAGUAAAGCAUCCAUGUGAAGGAAAGGAAAGGAAUGUUUUAUGGCCAAGGUGUAAGGUAGAUGACCUUUAGGUGGAGGUGACUGUGCAUGAUGAGGUUUGUGUGCCACUGAGGACCAGAGGACCAUGGCAUUGCAAGCCCACUGUCAUCUGCUCUUGUGCCUGUGCCUCAUCUGCCUUCUGAAGGCUCUUUGGUAGCAAAGUGCUUGGCAUUUUCCUGGCGUAUGGAGCUCCAGGUGGUGACUGAAGACAGUGAAUAUUUUUGCCGUUUCUCCACCGACUGAUUUUCCAUUAUGAAGAGAUGAGAAAACAGAACAUUCAACACACCAGGAGUUGACCUCACGAAGAAAUGCAGUCUGCAAGCUAUCCAGCAGAUGCCGCUGUUGGACAAAAAAAAUAGCUCAAGCAAAGUCAAUGGGACACCUUUACAGAGCUGGACAUCGAUGAAGGUGUAGAGGGGACAGCUCUGCCUCAGAGUCCCCUCGGCUCUGCACGGUGGUCCCGUGCCUCAGAGCACCCGUUUGUCAUCCACCGUGGUCGGCACACACAACGAGGGAGCUGAUGAGCUCUUCCCUUCUUCCUUUUUCCUGCUUAAGAGACAGCCUGGCGUGGGGACCCUGUUGCUGCUGGACUUCAUGGCAGGAGAAGGGAGCUCAUCUUCUGCCGGGGGAGGACGUACGCCAGCAGCUACGGGAAGGGCAGGAGGAGGCGACUCGCCCCGUGACGGAGCUCGAGGGGCCUCGGCGAUGGGGCACUCACCAUGCCGUCGGAGCAGUU